RNAcentral lists this ribosomal RNA (253 nucleotides) under uncultured bacterium. RNAcentral's name for it is "partial 16S ribosomal RNA". It matches the Rfam family "Bacterial small subunit ribosomal RNA", at positions 524 to 776 of the family's 1533-position model. The record is from RNAcentral.
GACAGAGGGUGCAAACGUUGUUCGGAAUUACUGGGCGUAAAGCGCGUGUAGGCGGCCCUGUAAGUCGGGUGUGAAAUCCCACGGCUCAACCGUGGAAGUGCAUUCGAAACUACAGGGCUAGAGUUCUGGAGAGGAAGGUGGAAUGCUUGGUGUAGAGGUGAAAUUCGUAGAUAUCAAGCGGAACACCGGUGGCGAAGGCGGCGACCUGGUACGAUACUGACGCUGAGGCGCGAAAGCGUGGGGAGCAAACAGG